CCGAGGCUUGGAUGGCGGCCGCGGCGCCGCUCGCUCUGCUGGGUUGCGCGGCUGCAGCGAGCCGUCGGCCAUGGCUCGGGGCCUUGGUCUUGGG
Molecule: transfer RNA, 94 nt
Filed under: Planctomycetota bacterium
Lineage: Bacteria; Pseudomonadati; Planctomycetota
Description: tRNA-Ser
Source: RNAcentral